This 514-nucleotide ribosomal RNA is filed under the name uncultured bacterium. Its description in RNAcentral is "bacterial SSU rRNA". It matches the Rfam family "Bacterial small subunit ribosomal RNA", at positions 994 to 1509 of the family's 1533-position model. The record is from RNAcentral.
AACUUAGCAGAGAUGCUUUGGUGCCUUCGGGAACUCUGAGACAGGUGCUGCAUGGCUGUCGUCAGCUCGUGUUGUGAAAUGUUGGGUUAAGUCCCGCAACGAGCGCAACCCUUAUCCUUGUUGCCAGCGGUCCGGCCGGGAACUCAAAGGAGACUGCCAGUGAUAAACUGGAGGAAGGUGGGGAUGACGUCAAGUCAUCAUGGCCCUUACGAGUAGGGCUACACACGUGCUACAAUGGCGCAUACAAAGAGAAGCGACCUCGCGAGAGCAAGCGGACCUCAUAAAGUGCGUCGUAGUCCGGAUUGGAGUCUGCAACUCGACUCCAUGAAGUCGGAAUCGCUAGUAAUCGUAGAUCAGAAUGCUACGGUGAAUACGUUCCCGGGCCUUGUACACACCGCCCGUCACACCAUGGGAGUGGGUUGCAAAAGAAGUAGGUAGCUUAACCUUCGGGAGGGCGCUUACCACUUUGUGAUUCAUGACUGGGGUGAAGUCGUAACAAGGUAAGCGUACGUGU